CUUUGAAAACCACACUUUUAGCAGCUUUACAAAACACGACAAACGUGAGUCAUUUAAACUCGAUCGUGAGUUAUAUUAUUAAAACUGAACGNNNNNNNNNNNNNNNNNNNNAANAAAAAAAAAAAAACCAAAAUGAUGUCGUUUUGAAUGGUUGACCGGGUUGACUUCGGUUUCCGGUCCGGUUCGGUUUCUACAAAGCUGAAACUGAAAACCAAACCGAACAGAUCUGGUUCGGCUCGGUUUUUUUUCGGCCCGGUUUUUACGGUUUCGGCUCGGUUUUCGACUCGGUUUUUUUCGGUUUUUGGCUCGGAAGUGCCAACCCUAAUGCGGGUCAAGGCGGCCGCUUGGCUACCCUAGGUGAGCCUAGGAGGGCCUAAGAGGGUCAAGGCGUGUAAUUGCGAGCCUAGGAGGGCCUAUGAGAGUCAAGGCGGCCCUAAGCGGGUCUACAGGGGUCAAGGCGGCCCUAGCGGGGUCAAUGCGACCUCUUGGCGGCCCUAGAAGGGUCAAGACGGCCCAAGGCAGGUCAAAGCGGCCGCUUGGCUGCCCUAGGCAGAUCAAGGCGGCCCCUUGGCGACCCUAGGUGGGUUAAGGAGGCCCUUUGGCUACCCUGGGAGGGACUUGAAGGGUCAAGGCGUGUAAAGGCGGCCCUACACAGGCCUAAAAGGGUCAUGGCGAGUCAUGGCGAGUCAUGGCGGCCCUUUGAAGGCCCUAGGCAAGCCUAGGACGGCCUAGUAGGGUCAAGGUGGCCCUAGGUAGGUCAAGGAAGGUGAAAGAAGCCCCUUGGCGGGUAAAGGGCGCCCCUUGACGACCUUAGACGGGUGAACGUGACCCCUUGGCGGCCCUAGCGGAGUCAAGGCGGCUCCUUGGUGACCCUAGGAGGGUCAAAGCGGCCCAAGGCGGGUCGAGGCGGGCCAUGGCUGGUCAAGGUGGGCCAAUGCAGGUCAAAGCGGGCCAAGGCAGGUCAAGGCGGUCCUACACGGGCCUAGGAGGGUCAUGGCGACCCCUUGGCUAGUGAUUGCGGCACCUUGGUGGCCCUAGGCGAGGCAAAGAGGGCCUAGGAGGGUCAAGGCAGCCCCUUGGCAGCCUUAGAAGGGUGAACGCUGCCUCUUGGUGGUUCUAGCGAGGUCAAGGCGGCCCUUUGGUGGUCCUAGACGGGUUAAGGCAGCCCCUUAGCGGCCUUAGGUGGGUGAACGCGACCCCUUGGCGGGCCUAGGAGGGUCAAGACGGCUUUAGACGGGUGAAUGCGUCCCCUUGGCGGCCCUAAUGGGGUCAAAGCGGCCUCUUGGCGGCCCUAGGAGGGUCAAACCGGCCCCUUGGCGAGUCGAGGCUGCCCCUUGACGACCUUAGACGGGUGAAUGUGGCCCCUUGGCAGCUAUAGCGGAGUCAAGGCGACUCCUAGGUGGCCCUAAGAGGGUUAAAGCAGCCCAAGGCGGGUCCAGACGAUCCAAGGCGGCCCAAAGCGGGUCAAGGUGGCCCGAGGAGGGUCAAGGCGGCCCAAGGCGGGUCAAGGAGGCCCAUGGCGGGUGUCACGGCCCUUUAAUACACAGCGGAAUUUUUCUCUCUUUUUCUGUUUGACACUCUUUUCUUUUGAUAGGAAUCGUGAUGGCGUCUUGCUACCUUGAUAGAUAACAAGACCAGCCGAACUUGACACACCCUCAGAGUAAGGUGCUUCGACACUUAAAGUGUAUAUCCCUCUCACUUUGGUGGAAACUCAAGCUUUUCUUUUGUCUUUCAAACACACGCAAAGUACGGGAAAACCCAACCUAUUAACUCACACUUAACAAAGGACUUUGGCUAGUGCAACUCAACAAACUCCGAACUUGGAAGCUUCGUUUGAGUGUUACUUGACGACUACUUAUUUAUAGAGCAGUAUACUCUUGCGGUUGACAUCCCCAACUGACUUAGGAUAAUAGUAAAUAACUACCCACUACUUAGUUUAUCCAAAGUGGGAAGUUACACAAAGUAACUUCCCAUGAUCCCCACUAAUAGAUCAUGGUUGCAACACUUAGUAACCGCCAUUGCCCACUACUUGGUAACCACCUUUUGGAUAGGCCUUGGUAACUUCCACAUAACCGCCUGCAUUGCACACUUGGCUGCCUUGUCACCGCGCCCGCGUGUGCACUUGCAUACACAAUUCUGCCCUUGACGAGCUUGCAACCCACUGAACCCUUGGGUGCAUAUGAGGUUUGACCCUUAGGUGUAUGAAGGUGCUCAACCCUGCCGGACCCUCUGCUGAACCCUCUGUCGGACCCUGCUGAACCCUGAGGUGCAUGCAUGAUGCGUACACCCAACUUAGCCCUACUGCGCAUCCUGCCGAGCCCUGGAGUGCCUAUUUGCCACACACCCUGCUGGACCCGUAGGUGCUAAUGAGGUGUGCACCCUGCCGAGCCUUGGGGUGCCUAAUUGCCACACACCCUGCAGACCCAUAGUCGUGCACCCAGCUGGGACACUUGGUGCUUGCCUCCGAACCCUUGUCGCCUCCACCUUGCUUCUUGGCAACCUUUGCUGCCCAUUCAUCUGACUAAGUGUGGUGCAAGACUAACCAACACUUAGUGGAUUUUCCUUGUCAAUUUCAAGGGUGUGACAGCGGGCCAAGGCUGGUUAAGGCGGCCCCUUGGCGGGCUUAGAUGGGUUAAGGCAGCAUCUUGGCGGCCCUAGGAGGGUCAAGGCAGGUCAAGGCGGCCCAAAAAGGUCAAGGCGGGUUAAGGCGGCCCCUUGGAAGGUCUAGGAGGGUCAAGGAAGGUAAAGGCUGUCCAAGAAGGGUUAAGGCGGCCCUUGGCUGGUUAAGGAGGCCUAUGGCGGGCCAAGGCGAGUCAAGACCGCCCCUUGGCGGCCCUAGAUAGGUUAAGGCGGCCUUUUGGCGGCCCUCAGAGGGUCAUGACUGGUCAAGGCGGCCCAUGGCGGGUCAAGGCGGCCCAUUGGCAGGCCUAGAUGGGUUAAGGAGCGGCCUCUUGGCGGCCCUAAGAGGAUUAAGGCGGCCCAAGGAGGUUAAGGCGGGUCAAGGCGGCCCUAGGAGAGUCAAGGCGGGUCAAGGCGGGUUAAGGCAGCCCAAGGAGGGCAAAUGCGGCCCCUUGGCGGCCCUAGACGGGUAAAGGCGCCCAAGAUGGGUAAAGACGGCCCUAAGCAGGUUAAGGCGGCUCCUUGGAGGGUCUAGGAGGUCUAAGGAGGGUUAAAGCUGGACUAGGCGGUCCAAGGCGGCCUAUAGCGGGUCAAGGCGGCCCUAGAUGGGUUAAGGCGACCUCUUGGCACUCGUAGGAGGGUCAAGGCAGCCAAGACGGGUCAAGGUGGCCCUAGGAAGGUCAAGGAGGCCCAAGGCGGGUUCUGGUAGUCCAAGGCGGCCCUAAAUGGGUUAAGGUGGCCUCUUGGCUGCAUUAUGAGGGUCAAUGUGGCCCUAAAUGGGUUAAGGUGGCCACUUGGCGUCCCUAUGAGGGUCAAGGUGUCCCCUUGCCUAGGAGUGUCAAGGUAGCCCUAGGCGGGUCAAGGCGGCCCAAGACGGGUUAAGGCGGGUCAAGGCGGCCCCUUGGACGGUCAAGGGNNNNNNNNNNNNNNNNNNNNUUAACGGUUUAAAAAAAUUUUUAAAGGUAAGUUACCCGGUACGGGUCUAUUAAGAAGAAAUAAAACUAAAGAACAAAAAAAAAGCUCAGAAGCUCGCUCAAUACCUUUGAAAACCACACUUUUAGCAGCUUUACAAAACACGACAAACGUGAGUCAUUUAAACUCGAUCGUGAGUUAUAUUAUUAAAUGAACGAAUUUUUGAUGCUAGAAUGGUUCACAAUAUGUUAGGAAGCGUCUAUAAGGACAGCGGAAUUCAAAAAAUCACAUGUAAAAAAAAGUGAAAUUUUCCAAAAACCUUUGUGCUAUAGCAAGGGGUUUUGGCUCAAAUCGGGCGAAACUUGAAAGAAUGAGUAAUACAUAACUGUUUUUGAAAAUAUAGAUUCUCGAGGUCAUUAAGAGAAUAAACUAAUACAAAAAAAGCUUAGAAGCUAACUCAAUACUUUUGAAAACAACAAUUUCAGCUGCUUUCCGAAACAUGACACACGUUACUAAUUUAAGCUCGAUCGUGAGUAAAAUUAUUAAAGGAACGGAUUUUUGAUGCUAGAAUAAUUCACAAUAUGUUAGGAAGCAUCUACAAGGAUACAGGAAUUCAAAAAAACACAUGUCAAAAAAAGUGAAAUUUUCCAAAAACCUGUGUGCUAUGCAAGAGGUUUCGGCUCAAAUCAGGCGAAACUUGAAAGAAUGAGUAAUAUGUAACUGUUUUUGAAAAUUUAGGUUCCCGAAGUUAUUCAGAGAAUAAACUAAGACAAAAACAGCUUGGAAGCUCACUCAAUACCUUUGAAAACAACACUUUCAGCAAAUUUACAAAACACAGCAUGGGUGAGUCAUUUAAACUUGAUCGCGAGUAAAAUAAUAAAAGCAACGGAAUUUUGAUGCUUGAAUGGAUCAAAUUAUGUUAGGAGGCAUCUAGAAGCACAAAGGAAUUCAAAAAACCACAUGUCAAAACAUGUGAAAAUUUCCAAAAACCUGUGUGCUAUAUGCAAGGGGUUCCGGCCCAAAUCGGGCGAAACUUGAAAAAAUGGGUAAUAUGUAACUGUUUCUGAAAAUAUAGGUUCCCGAGGUCACUAAGAGGAUAAAUUAAUAAAAAACAAGCUUGGAAGCUCACUCCAUUUCUCUGAAAACCACACUUUCCGCAGCUUUACAAAACACGGAACGCGUCAGUUAUUUAAGCUCGAUCGUGAGUAAAAUAAUAAAAUCAAUGGAUUUUUGAUGCUAGAAUGGUACACAAUUUGUUAGGAGGCGUCUAGAAGCACAGAGGAAUUCAAAAAACCACAUGUCAAAACAAGUGAAAUUUUCCAAAAACCUGUGUUAUAGGAAGGGGUUUCGGCCCAAAUCGGGCGAAACUUGAAAGAAUGGGUAAUACAUAACUAUUUUUGAAAAUAAAUAUAGGUUCCCGAGAUCAUUAAGAGAAUAAACUAAGAGAAAAUAAAGCGGGCCAAGACAGCCCAAGGCGGGUCAAGGCGACCGCUUAGCGGGUCAAGGUAGGUCAAGGCGGCCCUCGGCCCUAGGAGGGUCAAGGCGGCCCCUUGGUUGCCUUAGACGGGUGAACGCGACCCCUUGGCGGGCCUAGGAGGGUCAAGGCAGCCCCUUGGCGAUCUUAGACUGGUGAACGCGUCCCCUUGGCGGCCCUAACAGGGUCAAAGCGGCCUCUUGGCGGCCCUAGGAGGGUCAAAGCGGCCCCUUGGAAGGUCGAUGCGGCCCUUUGACGACCUUAGAUGGGUCAAGGCGGCCCCUUGGAGGGUCUAGGAGGAUCAAGGCGGGUCAAAGAGGCCCAUGGCUGGCCAAGGCGGGUUAAGGCGGCCCUAGAUGGGUUAAGGCGGCCUCUUGGCGACCCAAGACGGGUCAAGACGACCCAUGGCGGGACCAGGCGACCAAUUGGCGGCCCUAAAUGGGUCAAGGUGGGCUCUUGGCGGCCCUAGGAGGGUCAAUGCGGCCCCUUGGUGGCCUUAGGCGGGUUAAGGCAGGUCCAGGAGGCACCUUGAAGGGUCAAGGCAACCAAUUGGCGGCCCUAAAUGGGUUAAGGUGGCCUCUUGGCGGCCCUAGGAGGGUCAAUGUGGCCGCUUGGUGGCCUUAGGCGGGUCCAGGCGGCACCUUGUAAGGUCUAGGAGGGUUAAGGAGGGUCAAGGCGAGUUAAAGCGGGUCCAGACGGUUCAAGGCGGCCCAAAGCGGGUCAAGGCGGCCCAAGAGGGUCAAGGUGGCCUAAGGCGGGUCAGGACGGCCCAUGAAGGGCCAAGGCGGCCCCUUGGCGGCCCUAAAUGGGUUAAGGUUGCCCUAAAUGGGUUAAGGUGGCCCUAAGAGGGUCAAGGCUGCCCUAAGAGGGUCAAAGCGUCCCCUUGGUGGCCCUAGGCGAGCCUAGGAAUGUCAUGGCAGCCCUGGGCAGGUCAAGACGGCCCCUUGGUGCCCCUAAAUGGGUCUACGAGGGUCUAGACAACCCCUUAGCGGCCCUAGCCGGGUCAAAGCUGCCCCUUGGCGAUUUAAGGCGGCCCUUUGGUGGCGGUCAAGGCGGGCCUAGGAGGGUCAAGGCAGCCAUGUGCGGGUCAAGACGGCUCCUUGGAGGGUCUAGAAUGGUCAAGGCGGCUCAUGGCGGGUGAAGGCUUCCCUGGGCGGGUGAAGGUGGGUCAUGGCAUCCCUGGGCGGGUCAAGGCGGCUCUUUAGUGCCUCUAGAUGGGACUAGAUGGGUCUAGGAGGGUCUAGGCGGCCCCUUGGCGGGUUAAGACGGCCCCUUGGUAGAUCUUGUCGGGCUUAGGAGGGUCAAGGUGACCCAGGCGGGUCAAGGAGGCCCAUGGCGGGCCUAGAUGGGUUAAGGCGGCCUCUUGGCGGCCCUUGGAGGGUUAAGGCAGGUCAAGGCGGCCCAAGGAGGUCAAGGCGGGUCAAGGCGGGUUAAGGGGGGUUAAGGCAGCCCAAGGAGGGUAAAAGCGGCCCCAUGGCAGCCCUAGACGGGUAAAGGCGGCCGUAGGCGGGUUAAGGCGGCUCCUUGGAGAGUCUAGGAGGUCCAAGGCGGGUCAAGGCGGCCCCUAGAUGGAUUAAGGCCACCUCUUCGCGCCCGAAGGAGGGUCAAGGCAGCUAAGGCAGCCCAAAGCNNNNNNNNNNNNNNNNNNNNUCUUGGCUGCAUUAUGAGGGGUCAAUGUGGCCCUAAAAUGGGGUUAAGGUGGCCACUUGGCGUCCCUAUGAGGGUCAAGGUGUCCCCUUGCCUAGGAGUGUCAAGGUAGCCCUAGGCGGGUCAAGGCGGCCCA
This 6788-nucleotide long non-coding RNA is filed under the name Fragaria vesca (wild strawberry). Its description in RNAcentral is "long non-coding RNA (FVES_LNC001084)". Lineage: Eukaryota; Viridiplantae; Streptophyta; Magnoliopsida; Rosales; Rosaceae. The record is from RNAcentral.